UGUUGACAUAUAAAUCAACAAUACCACCUUACAGGCAACACAUCUGUUUGGCACUGUUUGUGAUGCAUGUUCCUGGCCUACAUUUUAUUAGUGCAUGUUAUUCUAAAAAGUUUCUCAAUAUCAUUAAUCUCAAUAAUAAGACAUUCCCCGUGCCCCUCCAUUGUCAAAUAGUGACAAUCUUCCAUGUUUUUACAGCAUGCCUUCAAGGAGGAAUUUCAGAUUGUGCCAUGCUGCCUGACCUCUUCUCUUGGGCCACUUGAAAAACGUGUCAGUCCCUUUGUAGGAACACCUGUGCCUGAUGUCCGACAAGAAUGCAAGCACCAAAAAAGAAAGCAAAAGAAAAGGCCUGCCAUCAAAGACCGUUUUCAUGGAUGGAUAAUUACAUUUGCCUUCAUUUUUUUGGCAAACGCUUUAUGUUUACCAUUCUCACCCAUCAAAAAAAACAAAAAAAACAAUCACAAGACCUGGUGAAUCUCACCCCCUCUCCCUUUAAGACGUCAAGGGGGAGAUCAAACCGAUCCAAGCUAAGGAAAACCCCUCCUUAAAUUCUUAUUUACCAAUCAGUCUCAGCUUUAAUAAAGCUCUAAGCUAUGCCAACAAACACAGACCAAGAAGAAGAAGGAACGGAAAGUGAGAAAGAGAGUGUGAGAGGUCAUGCCAAAACUGCUACGUGUUUGUUCUUCUCCCGCGAGGAAAUCUGGGAAAGCCGAAAAUAUCCCAGAGGCUCCCACUGUUAUUGUAAGGCUAGAGGUGGGUGAUGCUGAAACCCAGGAGGAGUGCUCAUGGAAUGGGAAUGGACGGGCUUUGUUUGGAUAAUUGUGUUUUUAGAUUACACGCUUUACUGAAAUACAGCCACUCCUGCUCUCCUACUCAUACCCUAGGCUUUGUUUUCCUUUCCUUCUUUCCUUCAAGAGGCCCUCACAGACAAAAAAAAAAAAACUACAUAAAAUAAAUAACCUCUGUGUAAAAUGUCCAAUAAUCCUCUUUCCACAUGUUUGAAAGGACCGGACCUGACAGUGAGGUAAUUCCAAUGAGGCUGGAGGUGAAGAAGGACAGGUUUGCAGGUGAUUUAGUGUGAAAACAGAUCAGGCCCCUGUAACAACAAAGUCAAAAUUAAAAAUAUAGGAACACUGAGCACUGCCAGGUGAUGUAAUGGGCGUCUAAUCUCAUAUGACCCAACACAUAUUUCCAGUGGAGGUGUAAUGGCCAUACAGUUCCAGGCUGUACAACAUGUUAUCCUCUCUCUGCAGAUUUUGGGAGUUAUAUUUGUAAGGAUGCAGUGAACUAACUUACUCAACUGACUUACUUGGUCAGGGAGGUUUCUAAACCAAAAGCCCUAGUAACUUCUGCAACAAUUUAAGCUCGACCUGAUUUAUUUAUUUAUAUUCUCACAGCCUGGGGGAAAAAGCAGUUCACGGCCAGGCAUGUUGUCAGGAACCGCAGUCUUGCGUGGGUUAAUCCUAGAUAGGGUCUUCCUUACAUCAGCUGGAGACAGACAGAGCGCCUGGUCGUUGGGAGGUAUGGGCAGUUUUUGUGCAGGUGUGUCAUUCUGCAUUUUAAACCGUGAAUAAAAGUGGUUGAGUGUAUCCGGGAGGGAUGUGUCAUCAUCACAGGCCUGUGGCGGGGGCUUGUAAUCAGUGAUGGUCUGAAUGGCUUGCCACAGGCUCUGUGUGUCUCUGCUGUCUAUGAAGUGAUUGUUUAUUUUUUGAGCAUAUGACCAUUUUGCAUUUUUGAUGCCACAGGACAGAUUGGCUCUUGCUGUUUUGAGGGCUGCUUUAUCUCCUGAUCUGAAUGCUUCAUCUCUGGUCUUUAGCAGCCCACAAACCUUUACUGACAUCCAUGGCUUCUGGUUUGCACGUCUGGUGAUGGUCUUGAUGACUGUCACAUCAUCAGUGCACUUUUUUUAUAUAAGCACUGACAGUUUCAGUGUUCUCCCCCAGGUCUGUGUGGCUGUUGUUAUGAGUUUUUGAACCGGUUUGGCGAGUUUCAGAAGUGGUCUGUAUGCUGGAAAUAGCAUAACAGAGAUGUGACCAGAGUACCCUAGGUUGGGGCGGGGUACAUCCUUGUGUACGCAGUCUUUUCUGUUAACUUGUAAACAAAGUUGAGUGUGUUUUUUUUCCCCUUGUUGCAAAGUUCACAUGUUAGUACAACUUUGGCAAAACUGUCUUUAAGUUUGCAUGGUUGAAGUCACUGGCUAUUAUGAAAAAGCCGUUGGGGUUAUUUGUUUGUUGUUUGCUGAUGGCGCUGUAUAGCUCGCGAAGCGUGUCCUUCGCAUUAGCACACUGGGGAAUGUAAACUGUGACAAUAACAAUGGCCAUGAACUACCGCGGCAGAUAGAAUGGUCGACACUUCACAAACAUAAACUCCACCAGCGAUGAACAGUGUUUUGUCAUUACCAAAGCAUUGUUACACCACUCUUUGUUGAUGUACACACAAAAGCCACCCCCACAAGCCUUAUCAGACAGUGCUGUAUCUCGGCCCGCUCGGUAGCAGGCAAGUCUGUGCAGCUGAAUAGCGGAGUCUAGGAUAUUGACGUUUAGCCAUGUUUCAGUGAAAACAAACACACAACAAUCCCUUGUCUCAUGCUGUGUAGAUCGGCUGAGUUGAACUAAAUCCAGAUUAUUUUCCAGAGAGCAAACGUUUGAGAGCAUGAGUGAUGGAAUCGCUGGUCUAGUGGGGUUAGCCCUUAGCCUAGCUCGUGUGCCUCCACGCGUACCACGCUUCUGUCCUCUCUCACACUGCCGGCGUCGCCUUUUUGUGCGGGUAGAGUCAGUAGGCGAGGCUGCGGUCUUGGGGUUUGGCUUCAGCAGCAGACAGAGGCCUCAUAGCUUCUCAGUGGUCACCGGCAAAGGCUGAUGUUUGUACACACUGCCGAUCAUAGUUGUGUUUCUGGGUGUUCAUCUGAUGAUUUUGUGAUAAGGUGCGACUGUUCGAAGACAAGGAAACAAGACUAACAGACAUAAAAACACUGUUUUUGGGACCCGGAGUAGCCGCUGUGUCCGACCGCGUUGCUAUCUUGGAUGUAACAUACAUUAUAUGUAUGUGUAUUUGAAUUGUUUUGACUAUUAUCUGUAGAUCCCACAUUUUCACAUGCCACAGUUGGUCGAUUAUGUACAAUGCCUGCACAUUAUUAGUCAAACUAUUUUUUUAGUUAUUUUCUUCAGUAAGUAUGUGAGAAAUGCUAUCUGUAUUACUACAACUACAUUUACUAUUUUGGUUCUUGGUAUUUAACUGCUCCUCAUUCAUUCUUCUGAUGACAUUACUUCACACUUCAGUGGAUUGUGUUUUUUUUAUGGAGACAACAUAUGGCACCAAGACUUUCUAAACAUUCAAACCCACAUGUAUGGGGGCAGGGUCCCGACAUGAUGAUAUAUAAUGAAG
Long non-coding RNA from Cyprinus carpio carpio, 3381 nucleotides. Lineage: Eukaryota; Metazoa; Chordata; Actinopteri; Cypriniformes; Cyprinidae. The record is from Ensembl.